AGGAGAAGUCGUAACAAGGUUUCCGUAGGUGAACCUGCGGAAGGAUCAUUGUCGAAACCUGCCCAGCAGAGCGACCCGUGAACACGUUCAACCUCGUGGGUGCUGGGGCGUCGCUCGGUGCCUCGUGCGCCUGCUCGCCCCUCUCCCAGGCCGGGGUGCUCCCACUCGUGGGCGGUUCCCCCGGCUAAACAACGAACCCCGGCGCGUAAAUGCGUCAAGGAAUAUAAACWUUAUGUGCGCGCUCUCCUGUCGCCCGGUUAGCCGGGCGUUGGAGUUGUGCCAUGUCUUAACAAUAAACGACUCUCGGCAACGGAUAUCUCGGCUCUCGCAUCGAUGAAGAACGUAGCGAAAUGCGAUACUUGGUGUGAAUUGCAGAAUCCCGUGAACCAUCGAGUUUUUGAACGCAAGUUGCGCCCGAAGCUUCYGCUGAGGGCACGUCUGCCUGGGCGUCACGCAUCGCGUCUCCCCCACAAUCCACCUCGGUGGAGGGGAAGGAGGAUGGUUUCCCGCGACUCACCGGUCGCGGCUGGCCUAAAAUCGGAGCCCUCGGCAUCGGGAUGUCGCGGCGAUAGGUGGUGAACAAGGCCUCGGCCAAGCAAGCAACCCGUCGCGCAUGCCGUGCCAGUAUGGGCUCGCAGGACCCUUUGACGCUGCCUUMGSGGCAGCCAAACCGUUGCGACCC
Molecule: ribosomal RNA, 682 nt
Filed under: Silene pinetorum
Lineage: Eukaryota; Viridiplantae; Streptophyta; Magnoliopsida; Caryophyllales; Caryophyllaceae
Description: eukaryotic LSU rRNA
Rfam family: 5.8S ribosomal RNA (bases 299-452)
Source: RNAcentral